Molecule: long non-coding RNA, 1363 nt
Organism: Rosa chinensis
Lineage: Eukaryota; Viridiplantae; Streptophyta; Magnoliopsida; Rosales; Rosaceae
Exons: 3
Source: RefSeq, a predicted model, not a curated record
UGUGAUGUAUACGAGGUCUGUAAUGCAUUUUAAAUGGAGCUGUUAAUUCAGUGUUAUUGAAUGAUAUUUUGAGACUUGUGGUUUUAUAGCUUCCUUUAUCAAGUGUUGAAGAAAUCGAAGAUGCUUGAUAUGAUUGGCUUCGUAGAUCCUGCUAAUACUAGUGUCAUUGGCUGUGGAAAUCCAACUGAACGGGCUCGUUCUUUGUCAGUUUCUUAUGAAAGAGGGAAGCCUGGUCAGAUUUUUUUUGGUCCCCUAUAAUUCAGGCUGUCAUUGGAUGUUAACAGUAGUGAACCCCACUGAAGAAGUUGUAUAUUUCAUUGAUCCGCUAAAGAGGCGACUCAUCACCGGUGAAUGGAGAACUAUUGUGGACAAGUAAAUGCAGCUAGCUUGAUGGGUUUUUUGUUUAGUCCUCUUUUUUUUGGAGAUAUCGAUUCUCAAUUUAUAAGUUGUUAGUUUCAUCAUAAUUUUGUGUAUUGUGUUGUUGUUGAAGCUCCAUUAAAAUAUUCAAUACACAAAAACAUAGGAAAGGCCGAAAGACAGUUUAAUGGAAAAACUGUGCAGUAUGUGUUCCCCAUCUAGUUAACUAUUUAUAUUUGCAUUUUUCCAGUUCAGGCAAGGUUUAUUAGGUACUGAAAAUAUUUAUUUCUUUCAGGGCAUUCCGGAGCAGAUAGGUGAUAAGACUUGUGGAUAUUGGAUUAUGCAUUACAUGAGGGAUAUAGUGGAGGACAAAAACCAAGAGUGGAGUGCUAAGUGGGAAAGAAAAGCAAAUCACUAUUACACAAUGGAGAAGGUUGAUGUUGUCCGGGCAGAGUGGGCAAAGUAUGUUAUGAAGUUCAAAGAUAACUAGUGCAUGUGUAGGUUAACUAGUAGUUGAAGAUAUGUAGCAUCAACUUUUAGACAUGCAUAGUUGAUAUAUAUAUAGGCCAAAUUUUGAUUGCAGUACUGCUAGCUAUUUUGCUAUGUUGUUUAGUUGGUUGUCCACAUUGUGUAGUGCUUCUGGUUUAUUAGCAAGCAGUACUGCAUGCAUAUAUAUUGUUGGUUGCCCAGAUUAGUAGAUAUUGGCCAUUUAGAACUGAUGCUGAUGAUUAGGUUUGUGUACAUGAGACAAUGGUGGAUUAAUGGAAAUUGCAAUAUGAUUUUGGAUGUGGAUUUUAUGAUUUCAGGAAUAGCCAAUUUUAAUUUCCAUAAUGCAUGCAUACCAAUUGUACAGGGGACUACUAAAAUGUGUCGUCACAAACUGCAAGCUACAACAAAAGCACACCAAAACGUGUGGUUGCAGCUGCAUAGACACAACACAAAAACCAAUAAGAAGUCUAUUGUCUUUUUGACAAUGGGACAACAGAAAAUUGUAGUCUGAAAGGCA